Molecule: ribosomal RNA, 186 nt
Filed under: uncultured bacterium
Lineage: Bacteria
Description: partial 16S ribosomal RNA
Rfam family: Bacterial small subunit ribosomal RNA
Source: RNAcentral
ACUACAUGAAGCUGGAAUCGCUAGUAAUCGCGGAUCAGAAUGCCGCGGUGAAUACGUUCCCGGGUCUUGUACACACCGCCCGUCACACCAUGGGAGUCGGAAAUGCCCGAAGUCUGCGACCCAACCUUAGGGAGGGAGCAGCCGAAGGCAGGUCGGAUGACUGGGGUGAAGUCGUAACAAGGUAGC